UCGAGAAUCUUCCGCAAUGGACGAAAGUCUGACGGAGCGACGCCGCGUGGUGGAUGAAGUCCUUAGGGACGUAAACACCUUUUAUGAGGGAAGAAGUUUAUUGACGGUACCUCAUGAAUAAGGGGCUCCCAAUUCUGUGCCAGCAGGAGCGGUAAUACAGAAGCCCCGAGCAUUACCCGGAUUUACUGGGCGUAAAGGAUGUGUAGGUGGUGUGAUUAGUCGGGCGUUAAAUCUUCGGGCUUAACCCGGA
Molecule: ribosomal RNA, 250 nt
Filed under: uncultured bacterium
Lineage: Bacteria
Description: partial 16S ribosomal RNA
Rfam family: Bacterial small subunit ribosomal RNA
Source: RNAcentral